GGCUUUGAAGCGUGGACGCCAGUCUGCGUGGAGCCAACCUUGAAAUACCACCCUGGCAACUUUGAGGUUCUAACUCAGGUCCGUUAUCCGGAUCGAGGACAGUGUAUGGUGGGUAGUUUGACUGGGGCGGUCUCCUCCUAAAGAGUAACGGAGGAGUACGAAGGUGCGCUCAGACCGGUCGGAAAUCGGUCGUAGAGUAUAAAGGCAAAAGCGCGCUUGACUGCGAGACAGACACGUCGAGCAGGUACGAAAGUAGGUCUUAGUGAUCCGGUGGUUCUGUAUGGAAGGGCCAUCGCUCAACGGAUAAAAGGUACUCCGGGGAUAACAGGCUGAUACCGCCCAAGAGUUCAUAUCGACGGCGGUGUUUGGCACCUCGAUGUCGGCUCAUCACAUCCUGGGGCUGAAGCCGGUCCCAAGGGUAUGGCUGUUCGCCAUUUAAAGUGGUACGCGAGCUGGGUUUAGAACGUCGUGAGACAGUUCGGUCCCUAUCUGCCGUGGACGUUUGAGAUUUGAGAGGGGCUGCUCCUAGUACGAGAGGACCGGAGUGGACGAACCUCUGGUGUUCCGGUUGUCACGCCAGUGGCAUUGCCGGGUAGCUAUGUUCGGAAUAGAUAACCGCUGAAAGCAUCUAAGCGGGAAACUAGCCUCAAGAUGAGAUCUCACUGGGACCUUGAGUCCCCUGAAGGGCCGUCGAAGACUACGACGUUGAUAGGUUGGGUGUGUAAGCGCUGUGAGGCGUUGAGCUAACCAAUACUAAUUGCCCGUGAGGCUUGACCAUAUAACACCCAAGCAAUU
Molecule: ribosomal RNA, 795 nt
Filed under: Pseudomonas sp. JV449
Lineage: Bacteria; Pseudomonadati; Pseudomonadota; Gammaproteobacteria; Pseudomonadales; Pseudomonadaceae
Description: partial 23S ribosomal RNA
Rfam family: Bacterial large subunit ribosomal RNA
Source: RNAcentral